GUGAAUCAUCGAAUUUUUGAACGCAUAUUGCACUCUCUGGUAUUCCGGAGAGUAUGCCUAUUUGAGGGUCAUUUGAAAUAAUAUAAAUUCCAAGAUUUCUCGGAAUUUAAAAUGGGUUGUCCAUUUUUUUUGGUGUCCUAAAAUCAAAAACAACCUCAUUUUUUGGGUUUCCUUAUUAUUUUCAUUUACUCCGU
Molecule: unclassified non-coding RNA, 194 nt
Filed under: Ambisporaceae sp.
Lineage: Eukaryota; Fungi; Glomeromycota; Glomeromycetes; Archaeosporales; Ambisporaceae
Description: partial contains 5.8S ribosomal RNA and internal transcribed spacer 2
Rfam family: 5.8S ribosomal RNA (bases 1-71)
Source: RNAcentral